UACGUAGGGACCAAGCGUUGUUCGGAUUUACUGGGCGUAAAGGGCGCGUAGGCGGCAUGACAAGUCACUUGUGAAAUCUCCGGGCUUAACUCGGAACGGCCAAGUGAUACUGUCACGCUAGAGUGCAGAAAGGGCAAUCGGAAUUCUUGGUGUAGCGGUGAAAUGCGUAGAGAUCCGGAGGAACACCGACGGCGCAGGCAGCGUCCUGGCCGCUUGCUGACACUGAGGCACGAAAGCUGGGGGAGCAAACAGG
RNAcentral lists this ribosomal RNA (253 nucleotides) under uncultured bacterium. RNAcentral's name for it is "partial 16S ribosomal RNA". It matches the Rfam family "Bacterial small subunit ribosomal RNA", at positions 524 to 776 of the family's 1533-position model. The record is from RNAcentral.